This is a non-coding RNA of Taeniopygia guttata (zebra finch), 5434 nucleotides long. The record is from RefSeq and is a predicted model, not a curated record. NCBI's taxonomy places the organism in Eukaryota, Metazoa, Chordata, Aves, Passeriformes, Estrildidae.
GCAAACUGCUUGUGGGGGUGGGGGGGUGGAAAUCAAUGAUUAAGGUGUUGAAGCACACCAUCUGCUUUGAUUUCACUGUUACAAAUACACCUGAGUUGCCAUCUUUAACUGCACAUCCCUACACCGCACAAGGAAGUUUUCUUGCACUCGUGUUUGUGUUCUACCUCAGCCUUGACAUGGAAAAUAAUAGGAAACUCCUUGGCAGGAAUAAGAGAAAUAGCAAUAAGAUGCCUGGCAAGAGGAUUUAGGCAAUCUCAUAUUUGCCUUGUGACUUUUAACUGGAAUGAGGCUCGAGCUGGGAAGGGAAAAUGUGCAUUUGGUGGACAGAAAAAAAAUAUUGCUGGGAAACAAGAUAUAAACAAGAGGGGACAUAGACUUUUUUUUGUCUGUGACUGUGCUGCUUUAUGAGGGAAACAAGAGCAACCUCAUUCAGAGUGAAUCCAGUCACUCUAGUGCAUCUCUUCUCCCAGAAUUAUCCUAAAGAGUAUUCCAAGAGGAAAAAAAAAACUUUUCCUGUCACAGCAGCAGUUAUUGGGAUGGUGGAACUGGAGCUGCCCAGUGGAGAUGGGGAUUUUUAGCCAAUUCCAUUUUUCCUAUAGGCUAAUCUGUCUGAUUUGCAUUGACUUCCUUUAGAUUUCUGUAUUUUUAGAACCUUCCCUGUAGGAAGUGCACCAUACAAGCUCCAUUCUCUCCCCACGCUGUCUGCAGAUGGAAUGCUCCCAUUAAAGAUGGUUUGGUUUGCAGUUUUUGUCUUUCUUUUGAUGACUUGACAUCUUAUUCAGUUGACUUUGAGGCUCAUGCUUCAUGGCUGAUGAAAUCAGGCAGUUUCUGAGCAGGAAUAACAUCAUUUUUGGCCAUGCACAGGUAGAAGACCUGUCAGCAGGUUACUGUUUCCUGAUGAAGAAAGAGCUGGAAUGCUUUGCUAAGGCCCUGGAAAGUCUGGAGAGCCCCUUUUAGCAAUUCUUGAAGCAGCUAAAGUUCAGGCUAAGAUUCAGCUGAUCCCAUACUGUUUUCAGCUGUUGACUACUCCAAUAUUAAUCCACAUUUAGGCAGGAAACCCUUUAGGUUUUGUUUCUAUGAUUCCAUACAUGACUGAUUACAACAGCUUUUGAGCAUCAUGCAGUUUAAAAAAAAAUGCAGGGGUUUUCCAGCAGGAUUGGAAAGGAUGGGAGGAAAUUUUUAUCUCCAUGGGUCAGUGUUAGACAUAAGGACAGCUGAAGUCUCCUCCCCAGUGCAUGUCAAAUCCUGUGUUCCAGGACCUGUUCUCAGAGAACAGCCCUUGUUCAGCCCAAGAGCGGAUUUGUUUCAGAAACCCAACAAUUUGUGUUUCAUUAAGUGGAUUAACCAAGUCCCUCAGGAGUGCUUGUCUGAAUCAUUCAGGAUUUUCCUUCAAGAGGAGCAGGAAACCUUUGCCAGGGAAAUUGAAAUCAAUAGAGAGCUGGAGAAAAAAGGAAUGGCAAAUUGUUGAUGGUUUGUAGCAUAAGAACUUCAACAGCCCAAAAGAUAUUUACUCCUACUGAAUGCCAUAUGCAAGUACCACAAUUAAUGUUUUGAAAGAUGUGACAAGGUCGAGAGAGCAAUUAAGCGUCUUAACAAAGUUCAAGAAGGAGUCUGUGGAAAUCAUGAUGGAAUUUUUUGGCUGGUAAUACGCUAAGGGCCAUUAAAAGUUACAAGAAACUAUUUAAAUGUUCACUAGUUUUGGGCCUCUUGUUAAAAUGUUAUGUUUUUCUCAGACACUUGAGGGAUUGAGAGGAUUUUCUCCCCUUUGAUGUAUUCUAUCUGCUCUAGGCUAAAAACACGCAUCAGAAAAUAAUUUUUUUUUAUAUUUAAUUUUUAAUGACAUACAGCUGCUGGAGGGAAUUUUUUUUUUCCCCUUAACAUAGCACAAUCCCACCCAGAAAAAAGAUAAUUUUGAUUUUUCACUAUUGUUUUCACUGCUGCUCAGGGACCAGAGAAAGGCAUGGUUCAGCAUUUCAGCCUGGGCAGACACUUGCAAAUAUCUCUGGCUUUGAAGUAGACUGAAAAUCACCCAUCAGAGUGGUUUAUCAUCACAAACUGCUUCAGUGAAACCAAAAUCUCAGUCCCACUGAAGUACGCUUUGGGAGGGGCUUUAAGACACCUGUUGCUAUUAUUUUAUAUUUUAAACUCUAUUUCCAAAUAUAACAAGUAAAAUUACGUAUCAUUUAGACUGAUAUGAGGUUACAGUACAAUUGCUGAAAUAAUUCAAAAUUGUCAGUUUAUCUUUUAAAAACACUGCAGGAAACAGCUGUUUAACAGUGAUGGGAAAUAUCAUCAGAAGGAAUAAUAAAGAUCAAAGAAAUACUCAGUUAACCAAUUAAAGAAGUGGUACCUUCCAAUAUAUUUAAAUUAGGCUGGAUUUUUUUUUUUUUUUUGUGUGUGUGUGUGUGUGAUAUUAAAAACAGCUAUCCUCAUGCAGGGCUAAUUUGUUAUCAAACAGAAAGGGAACUUUAAGAAGAAAAGAUUUUUAUUAAUUACCCUUAAUUACUCAAAUAUUUCAACUAUUAUUGCCUGGCGUGGUAGUAUGUUCAUAACCUCAUUAAUGUGGAAAGCUGUGAGAUGGGUAGAAAAAUCAAAAUACAGAGAAUUUUAUUAAUUGAUAUCCUGAACUCUGGGGAGGAAUUUUCACUUAAUUCCCAAUGCUGUCUGUAAUGGAACAUUUUUAUAUAAACCUUUAAACUUCUAUCCAGACUGGUACCCAAGCGUGUAACUGAAAUAAGUUUGAGCUUUCUCCUUCAGACAGACUUUGCAAAUUCUUGUUACAGUAACAGGGAGCUUCCAGAAGUGUGGAAGUAUUAAAAACUAACCUGAAGAGGAUGUGUGUAUGAAAAUACGUGGCUGUACCUAUGUUUAGCUUGUCAAAGAAACACAAAUCUGUGUGAUCCUGUGGGAGGAUCAGCUUCCCUGCCUCUCUAACCCUGAACUGGGCUUCAGCUCUGAAAUCCUCAGCUGCAGAUUAAUUUUCCUGCCUGUUUUAAGCAGUAGAGACAGAAAGAAAUCUCUAAACCAGGAUUGUUUUUUUUCCUCCCAGGAGUUUCUAACCGAUGCAGCUCUAAGGGUGAUGAAAAAGGAUUGUGUAAACAGAGCAGCACUUGUCCUGUGACAAAGGGAGAACCUGGGCUGGCUGUGAUGGGUUUGAGCUGAGCCACAGGUGCAGAAGAGACACUGUUGGUUGAUAUUCCCUGAGUUAUUAUCCUGAGUGGGAGAUGUAGGAUAUAUUUCAGUUUUGUAUCUUGUAUUUUGUAGUUUUUAUGGCAGGCUUAUGCAUUCAGAGCCCUUCUUGACAGCUCUGCAUGGUUGUUUUAAAUCUGAUCUUCACCCUCAUCUGACACAAGCUGCUUGCUCUGAGAAACUUGUGUCUUAUGCAAGCCACAGGACAAAUUCCUGCCCAAAUUUCCUAACCAAAUUCCUGCCACAUCAGCGGCAUCCCUGUGUGGAGCACACUGUCAUGCUCUGCUCGAGGUGUGCUCCUGGGGCUGUUGAAUGAAAUUCUUUCUGACAGAAGAAAAGUCAUGGCCAAACAGCUCAACAUGAGGGAAGAAGCCAAUGAAAGAGCAAAGACUGUUUUGGCAGGAAGCUUUGCUGAGAGUAGAAUUCCCUGUGAAAACCUUAAUUUUUAUUAAAAUUCUGUAUGUAAGCAUUCAACUGGAGUAAAGCUAUAUAGUUGGAAGAAAUAUUCCGGCUGUUAGACAUGAUUAAUUAUUACUGGAGCUUCUUUACAGCCACUUGGACUGAGUGCAAAGGCCAGGGAAUGUUCUCUUUACUGGCAGCCUGUUAGCUAGUGCCCUCAGUCACAUUAUUCCCUGAUCACAUCAGAGAUUAAUCCCCACAGCUCAGAGGGAAUGGGCAUCCUUCUUCUCUUUGGUCUUCUCCCACUGUGAAUUUUAUGUGUGCACAUUUCUCAGUACUGAAGAAAAUUCUUGAGGUGAAACCUUAUCACAGCCCUUAACAGAAUAUUGAAAACAAACCUUAAGGUGUUUGGAAGCAGGCAUGUGCUCGAAGGAAGGUAAACAUUCAGUGAUGGGAGGGAGCAGGGAGGAAGAACAGAUUCCAAAGAGCAAGCAGAAGUCAGGGAGUGUUGGCAGAGCUGUGAUAAAUCCUCUGAAUCCCAAAUAAUCAUGGCUGCUCCAUUUUAGAAAUUUGUCUGAUGUACAGAUGGGAGUUUUGCAAAGUCCUUCUCUCUUCUAUGGGGAGCACUGAAAUCCAUCCCCAGAAUUCCACAUAUUUCCUGUGGCACUCCCAAGUGGGCACUGCAGGGAAGGUCUAGGACUCAUGUGCUGAUGAUACCUGAGACCUUUUUAUGUCUGGUUUUCCAUUGCUGCAUUCAGGUCUGCGCUCUGGGCUCAUCCUGGCUGCAUAGUUUGUAUUUUGGGAUAAAAGUGUCUCCUAAACCUUGUGAAUGACUUGGCAGCACCCAGGAGCUGGCUGGUGGAGGGCAGCUGGUGGCACAGUCAUCAGCACAGUCACUAUUUAUAUCCAUUUAUCUCUAUUAGGAGAUCAUUUGUUUGAGCCUCUUCAACUUGAUUUGGGUUGUGCUCCCACUUGGAGCCUGGUUGUGAGCGGAUACAAUCAACCUGUUUGGAGCAGUUAAUACCUUAAUGAGCCAGAGAUUUUGAUGACUUUUUUUUUUUUUUUUCAGAAGCUUAAACUAUUAAUUUAACAUCAAAGGAUGUGUUAAUAACAAGACAAAGUAAAUGCUUUUAACAGUGAUGACAGAUGACGUUCCUGUUUAUUUAGUAAUACCAAAGGCAAAUCACCCCAACAAGCUGAAAGCUCUAAUUGUGAGAUCUUAUCAGAGUAAUUGCCAUUUUUCUGAGAUCAUGCUACCAGUGGAAAGUGAAUAGGGCUUUUUUUUUCUCAUUUUCAUAACUCUGAAAAAUACAGGGCACUAACUGCUUUCACAGGGCACUGCAAUCUUCUGGUGCCUGAUAAGCCUGAGCCUUGCCAAGAGGCAGCUAUUGCUCUGUAAUCUGCAAUUUCCUAUUUCUUCUUGGUUAUCUGAUAUGGGAGGGAAUUUUUUUUCCAGAACAGAGCAAAAGCUUUUCACACUGUGUAGAUUUGGAUAAUUGUUUUUGGAGGUAAUGACUUUGUGUAAAAUGUGUUAGCAAAAGGAAUUCUGUCAUUUUCCUCCCCUAAGUUAUCAAUAUGGAAAUGUGUUCUUGUAUCCUACACAACAAUUCUGUGUUCUGGGCUCAUACUCAAUUGCACUCUGACAUGGAAAUAGAAACAUGAGUGGUGAAUGAGCUUCAUCCUAUAAAAAUCUGGGCUCCUUCUGUAGCCUCUGAAAAAUUCUUCAUUAUUUUCCUGACUUUCCUUAUCUGCAUAAGUGGAAAAUAAUUUUCUGCAGCCUUGUUGUGUGAGAAACUUGAUUCACCAAGUGAAAAGUGUUUUUUAUUUCUCUCAAAUGAUCUCAAAA